This 349-nucleotide ribosomal RNA is filed under the name uncultured Laccaria. RNAcentral's name for it is "eukaryotic LSU rRNA". The stretch from base 1 to 71 matches the Rfam family "5.8S ribosomal RNA", at positions 84 to 154 of the family's 154-position model. The record is from RNAcentral. Lineage: Eukaryota; Fungi; Basidiomycota; Agaricomycetes; Agaricales; Tricholomataceae.
GUGAAUCAUCGAAUCUUUGAACGCACCUUGCGCUCCUUGGUAUUCCGAGGAGUAUGCCUGUUUGAGUGUCAUUAAAUUCUCAACCUUUCCAGCUUUUAUUAGUUUGGUCAGGCUUGGAUGUGGGGUUGCAGGCUUCAUUUACUUAUAUGAGGGUCUGCUCUCCUUAAAUGUAUUAGCGAAACUUUUGUUGACCGUCUAUUGGUGUGAUAAUUAUCUACACCGUGGAUGUAAAGCAGUUUUUAUAAAGUUCAGCUUCUAACUGUCCAUUGACUUGGACAAAUUUUUUGACAAUUUGACCUCAAAUCAGGUAGGACUACCCGCUGAACUUAAGCAUAUCAAUAAGCGGAGG